GAACGCGAAGAACCUUACAGGUCUUGACAUACUCGGAAUCUUUUGGAAGCAAAGGAGUGCCUUCGGGAACCGAGAUACAGGUGGUGCCAUGGCCUGCUCGACAGCUCGUGCUCGUCAGAUGUUGCGUUAAGUCCCGCAACGAGCGAAACCCCUAUCAUUAGUUGCCAUCAUUAAGUUAGGGACUCUAAUGAAACUGCCUGCGAAGAGCAGGAGGAAGGUGGGGAUGACGUCAAGUCAUCAUGCCCCUUAUGAUCUGGGCUACACACGUGCUACAAUGGGUAGUACAAAGAGGAGCGAAAUAGCGAUAUGGAGCAAAUCUCAAAAGCUACUCUCAGUUCGGAUUGAAGUCUGCAACUCGACUUCAUGAAGUUGGAAUCACUAGUAAUCGCAAAUCAGCAAGGUUGCGGUGAAUACGUUCUCGGGUCUUGUACACACC
This 436-nucleotide ribosomal RNA is filed under the name uncultured bacterium. Its description in RNAcentral is "bacterial SSU rRNA". It matches the Rfam family "Bacterial small subunit ribosomal RNA", at positions 957 to 1391 of the family's 1533-position model. The record is from RNAcentral.